CUCCUCUGUAAUUUCCAGGUUCUCUUCCAUAAAUGUCAUUCUUACAAUCCGAAAAAAAGUAUAAAAUUACUCAUGUCUUUCUGAUGGAAGUUAAUUUGUCCUGGAGGUAUCUUUUGAGGUAGGUAGGAAAUAGGUACAAUUUUUCUCAUUUAAAGUAGAUUCCUGAGACAUCAUAAAGAGCCCUGCUUCAAAUCACAUAAUUCAUGACAGAGAACUGGAAUCUGAAAGAGAAACCAACCUCUUGGACUUGGUCCUGGCCUCACUUAAUAAACCUGGUGAGAAAAGCACAGGGCUGGUAUCUUCUCAGAGCCUCUACAUGGCUGGUUCAGAGGAACUUCCUUCCUCCCUGCACUGACAGCCCCUGGAGGAGACCCAGACAGAGAGUGAGCUGAGUCUCCCCUUCCCAGGAGUGGCUAGCAAUCGAGAAAGCUGCAGAGAAGCCUAUGCUGUGACAUCCGGCUCUUAGACCCUCAGCAUUCCUCCCAGGAUGCCCAACCCUCUCUCCUGCUGUCUGAGGAGCUGGAAGCAGCCUCCUGGAUCCUCUGGGAGAACAAGGCAGCACGCGGCCAGGGAUGGACAAGACCAACAUUACUGCCGUAAUUCUAAAUGCCUGCAGCUUAAGAAAUCCACCACCGGAUUGAGGUAACCGGAUACAAAACGACUUGCACUGUUUAGAAAGUAACGUUUCUGCACCGUGCACGGGCUGUGCGCGCCUGUAUUUAGAAGUCAGCGCAGGACCUCAGCUGACGCUUCCACACCUGCCAGGAGUUGCUGAUGUGAACCAGGUGGCCUGCUUCAAGCCGAAUUCAAUUACCCAGAUGGCAACUGUUUCCUAAUUCAAAGCUUUAACAUUGGCCUUAUUAUUUUUUUUUUCCAUUAUGAAAAAUGAGAGGGGGCAGAAAAUACAUAGAGUCUGAGCAUUUCUGGUUUAUGAGAUUAGAGGCAAGAUAGGGAAACGGGUCCCUGGCCUCCCCCAGCUCCCUGCAGCUCCGGCCUGCAGCGCAGUGCCUGGAUGACUGGUUGCUUGUUCCAUGAACAGCAGUGACCGCCCUACUCCUGGGCCCCUCCUUGGGAAACUGUAAGAAUUCUCCCUUGCUCAUUAGCGAUUGCAUUUGCAGAUGGUAUCUCUCUCUUUUUGUGCUGUGUUUUGUUUUGUUAUUUAAGGAGAAGAGAAAAAUAAGAAGAGGACAUUGCAUUUGGAGACCAUGCCUUCUUUUUCCUAAGGAGGCUCUGCCGUGUCAGUCCUCCCGGUUCAGAACGUGGCUACUCAAGCGUCUUAUUCUCACGGUGAACAUGUCCCAGUGGGCUGCUGGUGCCGUGCGUUAGCAGUGGGUUCACUUCCCCGGUCCUCACCUGUGGCUUGGGGAGAACCAGUUCAGACAAGUGGAGAGCCCAGCGGCCCCCACCCACCCCGCUCCUGCCCUCUGCACUCUGGUUACUGCCGCAGGCUGGCAGAAUAUCGGCAGACGGGCCCACGGUUGGGUAAAGGAGGUUGGUGGGGGGAGAGAAAAGCCAGCGUCAAGUAGAUUCUGUGCUCACACCCUUCUCCUCUAGAAGAAUUUUCGUGGACGCCUUCCUCCUUCUUUCGGUCUUCUUUCUCUCAGACUGAGUAGGAGUUUGAAAUCGGGACAAUUCCUCACGAGUUUUGGACAGUUACCGUGUGGCCGGGCGACGUUCCAAUCAUUCAGGUGUAUCAUGUCAGUUGAUGGUUGUGGCGGCCUGGUGAUGGAGUUACUGAUAAAAAGGUUCAGGAGUUUCGUGGGAAUAAGGAAAAUGCUGUUGCUCGGGAGACGUAUUUGACUGGGGUCCUGUCUUUUGAUCAGCCGUCUCGAGUCUACUGCCUCUACCGUCAUUGCCGAGUCCCCCCACCUGCCCCUUCCCCGCCUCCCCCUCCGCUCCCCCCACCAUCUCUCCUAUCACCCUCCACCGCCAUGCCUCCCACCAGACGCUAAAUGUCAAAUGGAUGGGGAUGUCCGCAAAUAAAAAACAAAACCAAGAGUUGAGAUUUGUUUAUACACAAACAUCUUCUGCUUGAGCUAGCUGGACAACUGAAGCUAACGUUUGCAUUAUUUUGGCCUUUUACGCUGUCUUCCUUACCCUCUCUUGUCCCAGUCUUUACAUGGGGAAUUGGGAGCCAGGUGGCUUAACUUUCCUUUAGUCUGGGGAAUUGCCUCAAGAGCUGGUCUAUGUGAGCCGUGGAAACCGACCAAGUCCUGGGGUGCCUGGGUGGCUCAGUCGGUUGGGCGGCCGACUUCGGCUCAGGUCAUGAUCUCACGGUCUGUGAGUUCGAGCCCCGCAUCGGGCUC
Molecule: long non-coding RNA, 2306 nt
Organism: Leopardus geoffroyi (Geoffroy's cat)
Lineage: Eukaryota; Metazoa; Chordata; Mammalia; Carnivora; Felidae
Exons: 3
Source: RefSeq, a predicted model, not a curated record